Molecule: non-coding RNA, 71 nt
Organism: Umbelopsis ramanniana AG
Lineage: Eukaryota; Fungi; Mucoromycota; Umbelopsidomycetes; Umbelopsidales; Umbelopsidaceae
Source: the annotation of a RefSeq genome assembly
UGCGGGUUGAUGUAAAGGUUGCAUACUAGACUCAUGAUCUGGAAGUGGUAGUUCGAAUCUAUCACCCGCAC